ACAAUACAAUAUCCAUUUUCAUACAAUAUAAUAUCCAUUUUCUGACAAUACAAUAUCCAUUUUCAUACAUUUAUAAUUGUAGCACAAAGUGGUAUACAAAUUCUUCUCAUUCUUUACAGCAAUAUUGUCCAAAAUAUAAAAAAUUAACAAUUUUACAAUAAGUAAUGCCAAAAGCAUGUCCCAUGAAGCAAAGUGAAGGUAUCUUCUUUGGAAGAUAUGUCAAACAAAUCCUGGCUUUCCCAUUGCCUCCUCUUUCUUGAUUGCUUCAUCAUCAUAAUUCUUUUUUGAUUGCCUCCGUUACCUGCAUUAUAAAAGUUGUAAAAUUUGGCAUAUAGUUGUUGGAAAAAGAAUCAUAGAAUGGAAUUGGGAGAAUUUAAUACUUGUGUUCUCUCAUAUAAUAUCGGGAAAGUACUACGCAAUCCUAAAUUUUCAAAACAAUAGGAUAGGAAGCCUCAGACAGUCCCUUUGCCUCAGACUUAAAAAAUAAAUUCUGUGGCCUAUUGUUACUAGAAUAGGAAGCGAAGCGGCAAACAAUAAUUUGGGAAAUGCGACCAAAAUAUGAUCAAUCAAACCGGAAACUUAAGCGGACUCUUAGCAGUAAACUUUGAAAACAGUGCAGGAACAUAAUUUGGGUACCUACAUGGUAUGUCAAUACUUCAAUAGAUACUAUAGACAAACAUGAUGAUUGCUUAAUUAGAGUAAGAAAGUACAUGAGCGAGCUUUCGACUACUGGGCUCGCUCUUAGGGUUGUUAAUAUCUUGAUUACCAUGGUAAUUUACACACAGACAGGUUGGCUCUUUCAGAGUUGAUGUUCUUUUCAAAAGCAAUCCAGCUAGUAUCAAACCACGUGGUUCAAAUGAUCCCUUUCCUAUGCUGCUUUGCAACCUAUUAAGGGAAUAGGUUCAGUUGUAUCUUUUGUAUAUCAUCACAAAAAGAACAUAUGAAGCAAUACGAUAGCAUCAAUUGUUUGAGACAAAAGCGAAUUAAAGUAUUCUUAAGACUUAAAUUUUAACAAUUAAGGUUUGAAUACUAAUUUCAUGAAGAUUGGAUUACAAUAUUGUUGCCAAUCUUUAUCCAGUUUAAAUAAUAUAAGAGGAACAUUAAGAUACGAACAAACUAACGACAAUCUGAAUCCAGUUUAAAUGCAUAGUACAAUAAGUUCUUCAUCAAAGCACUAUCUUGCAAUAAGAUACAGCAUCAAGCUGUAACCAUCAGGAUCCUUUUCCCAGAGUUCAAGCAUAGAUCCCUUGCAAUUAUAUCUAAACAAAAACAAUUUAAACAACCUUACAACAAGAUAUCAUUCACAUCAGUUGUUAACAGUACUCUCUCCCUAUGCAAUACACACACAUUAACAGCUAGUGCUUAAAUAACAUAAGAGCAAUCACUUUGAAUGAAAUUGUAAGAGGUUAGGUCCUUCUUCAAUUUGAACCCCAUAAUAGCAAUCACUACUAAAACAAGACAAGCUUGACAAAGUCACUGAUAAAAUUGAAAAGGCAAAUGCUUGAAGCAAUGGCUUUACAUGAAUAAAAUUCAUUUGCAAGUUAGGUUGACAUGUAAAAAAAAUUCAAUUUCCAAUUUCCCAGCAAUAAGCUGAUUUACACUGUUUCACGCAAUGGGAAAACGUCUUCGACAUCAAAAACUAAGGCAGCCCCUAAUCCCUACAAAUUGAAACCCUAUUUUUUUAGAAAUGACCACUAAUUUCUACAAAUUGAGAGAGGGAGGGAGUGAGAGGGAGGGAGAGAGUGACCUUUGGUUGGCUGAUACGGUGUCCGAGUUAAAUCGAUUGUCUUCUUCGAUUUUUUUUGGAGCUGGGUCGUCUUCUUCGAUUGGGCGCUGUAGUCGUGGAGAGACGCCGGGAGGUUGAGUCGCCGAGUUGGGUCACUGCGAAUGGAUCUCGUCUUCCUCUCGAGAGUGGGUCUCUCGUUUACCUUUGUUCUCCCUCUUCCAGAGACGUGCUCUUCAAAAGUUUAGGAUUUUGUUUUGUUUUCUUUUUUUUUAUUGGGUUUUAG
RNAcentral lists this long non-coding RNA (2009 nucleotides) under Actinidia chinensis (golden kiwifruit). Its description in RNAcentral is "long non-coding RNA (ACHI_LNC008038)". Lineage: Eukaryota; Viridiplantae; Streptophyta; Magnoliopsida; Ericales; Actinidiaceae. The record is from RNAcentral.